RNAcentral lists this ribosomal RNA (372 nucleotides) under uncultured organism. RNAcentral's name for it is "partial 16S ribosomal RNA". It matches the Rfam family "Bacterial small subunit ribosomal RNA", at positions 527 to 896 of the family's 1533-position model. The record is from RNAcentral.
GUAGGUGGCAAGCGUUGUCCGGAAUUAUUGGGCGUAAAGCGCGCGCAGGCGGUUCUUUAAGUCUGAUGUGAGAGCCCACGGCUCAACCGUGGAGGGUCACUGGAAACUGGAGAACUUGAGUACAGAAGAGGAAAGCGGAAUUCCACGUGUAGCGGUGAAAUGCGUAGAGAUGUGGAGGAACACCAGUGGCGAAGGCGGCUUUCUGGUCUGUAACUGACGCUGAGGCGCGAAAGCGUGGGGAGCAAACAGGAUUAGAUACCCUGGUAGUCCACGCCGUAAACGAUGAGUGCUAAGUGUUAGGGGGUUUCCGCCCCCCUUAGUGCUGCAGCUAACGCAUUAAGCACUCCGCCUGGGAGUACGGCCGCAAGGCUG